GCUCAGGACGAACGCUGGCGGCGUGCCUAAUACAUGCAAGUCGAACGCUUCUUUUCUACCGAGUGCUUGCACUCAUUUGAAAAGAGGAGUGGCGGACGGGUGAGUAACACGUGGGUAACCUACCCAUCAGAGGGGGAUAACACUUGGAAACAGGUGCUAAUACCGCAUAAUAGUCGACACCGCAUGGUGUUGAUUUGAAAGACGCUUUCGGGUGUCACUGAUGGAUGGACCCGCGGUGCAUUAGCUAGUUGGUGAGGUAACGGCUCACCAAGGCCAUGAUGCAUAGCCGACCUGAGAGGGUGAUCGGCCACACUGGGACUGAGACACGGCCCAGACUCCUACGGGAGGCAGCAGUAGGGAAUCUUCGGCAAUGGACGAAAGUCUGACCGAGCAACGCCGCGUGAGUGAAGAAGGUUUUCGGAUCGUAAAACUCUGUUGUUAGAGAAGAACAAGUAGGAGAGUAACUGCUCUUACCUGACGGUAUC
Molecule: ribosomal RNA, 485 nt
Filed under: Enterococcus rotai
Lineage: Bacteria; Bacillati; Bacillota; Bacilli; Lactobacillales; Enterococcaceae
Description: bacterial SSU rRNA
Rfam family: Bacterial small subunit ribosomal RNA
Source: RNAcentral